UACGAAGGGGGCGAGCGUUGUUCGGAAUUACUGGGCGUAAAGCGCACGUAGGCGGAUCGUUAAGUCGGGGGUGAAAUCCUGGAGCUCAACUCCAGAACUGCCUUCGAUACUGGCGAUCUAGAGUCCGGAAGAGGUGAGUGGAACUCCUAGUGUAGAGGUGGAAUUCGUAGAUAUUAGGAAGAACACCAGUGGCGAAGGCGGCUCACUGGUCCGGUACUGACGCUGAGGUGCGAAAGCGUGGGGAGCAAACAGG
RNAcentral lists this ribosomal RNA (253 nucleotides) under uncultured bacterium. Its description in RNAcentral is "partial 16S ribosomal RNA". It matches the Rfam family "Bacterial small subunit ribosomal RNA", at positions 524 to 776 of the family's 1533-position model. The record is from RNAcentral.